UGCCAGCCGCCGCGGUAAUACGUAGGGUGCAAGCGUUAGUCGGAAUUACUGGGCGUAAAGCGUGUGUAGGCGGUUCGGAAAGAAAGAUGUGAAAUCCCAGGGCUCAACCUUGGAACUGCAUUUUUAACUGCCGAGCUAGAGUAUGUCAGAGGGGGGUAGAAUUCCACGUGUAGCAGUGAAAUGCGUAGAUAUGUGGAGGAAUACCGAUGGCGAAGGCAGCCCCCUGGGAUAAUACUGACACUGACACUGAGGUGCGAAAGCGUGGGGAGCAAACAGGAUUAGAUA
RNAcentral lists this ribosomal RNA (285 nucleotides) under uncultured bacterium. Its description in RNAcentral is "partial 16S ribosomal RNA". It matches the Rfam family "Bacterial small subunit ribosomal RNA", at positions 506 to 784 of the family's 1533-position model. The record is from RNAcentral.